GAAAUUCAGUUAGUGCCUUGGUGUUAAAAACGGUUUAGGUUUUUAGCACAACGUUUAAGGGAUUACAACAAACGAUCGAGCAGUUUCUCAACGACCACAGAUAUCGUUUUCGCUUAUCGAAAAUAGAACAAAAUUCUGUACUCGAAUGCUGCCACCGAAUUGCAGAGACCGCAAAGAACAAAGCAACUGCAAAGGCAACACGAAUGGAAAUGGAAGGUGCUCCAAAACAACGCUCCAGAUGCACUCACACUCACACCCCGAUUCACAUUCGCAUUCGCAUUCACUGAAGAGAAACUGACCAAAAGGCGAACAACCGUCGAACGAGAACGAGAGAAGCAGAAGCGGUAGCUACAGAAUAUAAGACACGAACCGAUGUGAUACUUGGAACUACAAAGAACUAAAUUGCAUUGCAUCAAACGAUAUAUAUAUUAAGCAACGUAUUGAAAUUGACAAAGACUUGAGUGCUAGGAGGACUUGCCAAAAAAACACUGAAGAAAACCCUCGGAAAAAAUGGAGCACCUCGAUCUGGCGGGUUAUCUGAGUAAUACACCCACAACAUGGAACAGUUUGGGCAACAGUUUCGAGCAGCAAGAUGCCAUUUACUUGUCGAAUUCCCGGCAAAUGCUGGAGCCCAUCAUGGAGGAGACCAGCGAGGAUGAGGAGCAUGCACAAAACAGUUGGAAUGGCUAUCACGAGCAGCAGCAGCAGCAUCGUGGCUCCACUGGCCAUUGCGGUGGUGGCUUCUGGAGCUCCACAGAGUCGGAAACGGGUUCCGUAAUACGCAUCGAAGUGACAAAAGAUAUCGAUGCAAUUUCCGAAAGAGACUUUGCCUGCCCGCCCAAGCGACCCAGACGCUGCCAGGAGCCCGACCAGCCGCACAGUCUGGAGGAUGGUGUGCAAAUGCGACUACAUCGUCGCUAUGAUGCAGAAUCGCACAACAGUCUGGAGAGAUUCCUGGCUCUGGAGGCCUGUGCCAGGGAUAGCUACGGCAGUCAGGGCCAGAGGAGCAGCACGGGCAGUCGUCGGGGGGGGAUCUUUGACGAUUAUUACUCCGACAAUGAUUCGUUCCACUCGCUGUCGCGCAGCUCCUCUCUGGUGCAGUUUGAGUCCCUGGAGCGGCAGCUGACGUUGCAGGAACAGCACCAGAGCAUGAACAGCCUGGGCAACAGUUCGCCGUCGCUCUUCAACUGCGAAAUGGGAGCCAGUGCCAGUGCCAGCGACAGUAAUCCCGAGAGCAGGCGGGGAUCAGCCAACUCCCUGUCGCUGAUGAAGCGCUACGAGUCCAGCGAUGGACGCCUGCAUCAGACGUAUUUCGAGCUCAACAAACUGAACUUUGAAGAGCAGCAGCGGGAGCUGUUCGCAAAGAACCUCCUCCAAGCGGAAAUCAAGUCGGAUUCCGAGUCGAGCACCAGCUCCUCGAGCGACAGCAGCGGUCACAGCCUCCUGAGCUCCUGCCAAGGCAGCGGAGUGGCCAGUGGCAAGCAGGACGGUGGUGCCGCACGACGUAUACCACUCAAUUCGGCGGAGAAUCUCUCCGAGGAUUCCGGCUACUGUGAGCCGAGCACAUUGCGACGCGAGAAAUCUAAAUCCAUACCAAAGAAUUUCGACAAGCUGUGCGAGGAGGAGGAGGAGCUGCUGCUGGAGGAGUCUGCAACCGUCGUGCCACAUUCCAAAAACUCCAAUGGCGGACAUGAUUUGUGUCAGACGAAAAUAGAGCAGACUACGACGGAGGCUACUACGCCAGCAGCAGCAGCAGCAGCGGCAGCAGCAAUGUCUAUGCCCAUGCCUCUCUCUCCGUCGUCGUCUAUUAAUAGCAGUACGGAGAGAGCAUCAUCAGCAUCGCCAUCGCCACUGCCCUCGCCACUGGCAUCGCCCAGCGGAUCAUCGGCAGCCUCAUCGUCGUCCGCCGCCUCGUUCACUUGGCUGCGCAACAGUUUGCCCGACAUACGCGAGCCGCGAGGUUCAUCGUCAUCGCCAACGUCCGCCACGAGUCGCCACCGCCACAUUAACGCCGCCAUCGAUCCGUCGCCGUCGUCGUCGUCGUCUACGUCGUCCAAGUGUUUUCCAGCGGAAAACGAUAUACACGGCUACGUGCUGGCCAGCAGCGGAAAUCCACGUUGCAGUCGGAGUAGCCGCAGCAGCAGCUCCUCCUCCUCCGCAGACUGCUCCCCUGUCCUUGGGGCCACCUCCCUGCCCAACGAGCUGCAGCAAUUGGGGCGCCGACGAACGCGUACACGCCACAAUCGUCCCGCGCCACGGAAUUGCCACAGCAACAGCAGCGGCGGCAACAGCUCCAGCGAGGACUACGACUUGGAGGAGGAAGAGCGUCGCGACGACUUCUUCCUGGACUUUUGUCAGCAGCCCAGGAUUCGCAGGAGCUGCAGCUGGAACGUGGGCAAGAGGGGACUGGGAGGAGGCGCUCCAUCUUCUGCUGCGGCAGCAUCCACCGGUGCGGGUUACAUGAACGCCAGCUAUCAGAACCUUACGCUCUUGGAUUACACGGAUACCCAGCCAGAGGUGGGAGAUUUGCAGAGGAACUCCAAGAGAAGUCAACCCGCAGAAGAGCCCUUGGAACACAGCCAACCCUUGGACAUGUCUGACAGGAGCAGUCAACCCUUGGAGAUGUGCAAUCGAAGCAGUCUAUCCGGCGGAGACUACGAGCAGAUCAUCUGCAAGGGGAACUUCCUGUUGGAUGAGCUGAGCAAAAUCUACGACAAGAACGUGUCCAUUCUGAAUGACAGACCAGCAACAGCAGGAGCGGAGGAUCAGGUGGAUUGCACCCAUAAAUUGGAGGCAGAGGAACCGCCCCAGGUGCAGCAUGUCCAACUGACAAUAAGGAAGCCGCCUCCGCGCCAGAAAAAAGUCAGUGGAGAAAUCCAGCCCACCACCACGCCCACGCCCAAACAGAGACCCAACCUGCCGCCCGCGGCUGUCUUGAGUUUCUCGAGUUUUGGCAAGACCUUCGAUCAGGAUCCCACAAAUCUGCGCACCUCCUAUGCGCAGUCGCUGGAGCAGUGCAAUUUCGAUGCCCAGGAAAUGAGUCCCACAAAGGUGCCGCCGCCCAGGGCGCUGCCCAAGAGACGCUUCCAGUCCCAGGCGGCGGCGGCCAAGCAGAAGAGCCUCGUCAGCAGCACGCCCAAUCUCUCUGCCUUCGACAACAGCAACGGGGAGACGGAGGAUGACAUCUACGUGAGCAGUGCUCACACAUCGAUGCACCAGCUGCCGCAGUCGGCGAAUCAACCCAAACCUUUGGGCAUUCUACUGCCUGCGGGCUCCAGGAACUCAUUCAGCAAGGAGGUGAGCUUCUGUCCGGUGGUGAGCAAGUACUGCUGGCAGGAGCAGUCCUCGGAGGAGCCACAGGAGGAUCCAGGACUCGGCAGCGACACUCCCGGGCACUCUGACGACGACGAUGAGCUCAUGGACAAUGUGGACGCCACUGUUAUGCACAACACCAAAGAGAAUGAGAACAUAGCGGCGCGCUACAAUCAAGAGCAGCAGAAAAGAGAAACGCAACCGCAGGAGAGUGUGGUAGUUGAAGUGAGUAUCGAGCUGGAAGAGAGAGCAACAGCAGAAGAGCCAGCAACAGCCGAAGAGAGUUUGGCGACGAUCGCCACGGCAGAGAGCGAUGCCGAAGAGAGCGAUGACAACAACGAAAACAUCGCAAACAUCGCAGCCGCUGCUGCUGCUACUGCUGCCGCUGCCGAAGCCGAUUCGGAGCCCCGACACGAGCCCGUUUCAAAUUCUGGAAACGAGACUGCAUUCAUUCACGAACAACGCGCCGUCGCGCAAUCAUCGCAAUCGACACCGUUAUCGACAUCGACAUUGGCUUCCAGCUCACCCUCGCCAUCGCACUCUUUGCCAUUCUCCGCCAGUCGUGAUACCGCGCUCCCUCAGCGUCCCCUGAGCCUGCAUCUGCCGAUCCUCAGUGAACCGCCCACGAACCGCGCCCACCACAUACUCUACGCCUCCCAGCAGCUGUUGCAACGCUACGACGAGGAGGAGCCGCACGAGCGCGAGGAUCGCCGCCAAAUGGCACCCCCCGCCAGUGGUACAGUGGAGUCCCCCACAAAACAAAAGGGUGGAAAGUCGCCGGGAAAAACAGACGACAAGCACCCGAGCUCCAAGAGUUUCCUCUCCAGAUUCGCCAAUGGCCUGCGCUUCUCCCUGAGGCGCAAAAAGAAGCAACAACAGCAGCAGCAGCAACUCGAACAGAAGCCUCCGCUGACAAAGGCAGCGCCCGUGAAGGCCACCAAACAACAGAGCAACGGAAAGUCGGCGGACUUUAUACACAUACCCCUGAAGCCGCCAAGGAGUGCAUCGUCCAAUGUCCAGACCUUGGACGACAGCAACGCCUCUGAGGCCAGCACCGCGAGUGUGCACAGUGGUUCGACUCUGGCCAAGACAUCCACAUUGCAGAAGGUGGUUACCGGCAAGCCGCCGCUGCCCAAACAGCCGCCCAGAUUGACGCAUGCGCCUCCGCCAACGGUGCCAGCAAGUGCUACCCAUGCCUAUGCCUCGGAGGCUUUGCUCAGCGCCGAGCGGGAACAGUAUCGCGAGUUUGCGGACCAGUUGUCGGCGGGCAUGCAAGCGGCGAGGAUGCGGGACACCGAGUCGCCCUCGCGGGCCACCGUUGCCCAAAAGACGCAAAUGUUCAAUCAGCUGGGAGCCGGCUCCAGCGCCGGUGCCGGUGCCGGUGCCGGAAUGCGCCCCACAAUGGUCACUGCCGUGCCCGUGCAAGUAUCCCCCGUACUGGACGAUGAGGAUGGAUCCGGCAAAAUGGGUCUGAUUGAGACGAAUCUGGACACCCACGAGACGGUCAUCUCGGGCAAAACACGCUCCCUAAUGGACAUCACCUGCAAUCCAUUGAGCCAGCCCCACAAGCGGUAUCUGGUGAAGCGUCUGAAUGUCACCAGUGCCACCUACGACGUGGAUGAUGAUGACCUCCUCGAUGGGGAUGUGGUGGUCAAUGGACACCAUAUCAAAUCCUCGCCAGCUGCCGGCGGUGUACAGAUUGCAUCCGUCAGGAGACCGCACAAGAGCAUGGAGUUUCUGUUGGAUAAAGAGAAUCAAAGGAAUGUUUUGCCCCCUGAGAAUGAGCUACAGAAAUCGCACGAUCACAAUCCGGCCGCCCUGAGUGAGCAUCAGCUGCGCGUCCAGGCCUCGCUGCAGCGUCUGAAUAUCCCCGACUGGUUCCGUGCCUACAACCAGAAUGCCGCACAGGCGCCGGAAGGUGCCGCUUCAGGGGGCACGUCGACCUCUGGCGGCGGCUAUCGGCCGGGCAAUUUCACGCGAAAGCGCACCCAGGACUCGGGCCGCUGGCAGGGACUCAACUCGAAGACGACCUCGCUCAGUUCGCUCGGCUCGCACUCGCAGCGCUCCGAUCGCAGUCCUCUGCUGUUGAGUCCCUCGGCGCACAGCCACCAUGGCGGCCAGAGCAGCAGUGUGAGCGGCGGUUCGGCGGCAGGGGGCCCGGCGCAUGGCCAUCAAGGCCAUCAGGGACAGCAGGCCGGAGUGGGGGCCACGCGGUGGUCCACCUCGCAUCUGAACUCCACACAGACCUCGCCGAGCGUCUCGCAGCGAGGGAGCUUCGCCCGUGGGGCGCCCAUCAACAGCAGCUUCAUGUCGGUGGCCAGCAACAGCAGCAGCGUCCUGAGGAACUCCUACCGCCAGCCGUACCUCGGAUGGCGCAGCACGGAGAAGCUAUCCCAGCGGACGCCACACGAACGUCUCGCCAGCUCUCUGCUGGCACAACGCACAACCCCAUCUCCCACAUCGGCGGCGCCCAACGGCGGACGCACUCUGCAGGCGGUGACGCCAGAGAUCCAGAGCUCCAUCAAGGAGGUCACCUCGGCGAUUGUGCACUACGUGAACGACCAGCAGCUCUCCCAGCAGCAGCAGCAGAAUCGCAGCCGAUCCGCCAGUCCAAAUUCGAGCUACCUGUAAAAGUCUUCAGCACCACCAACCACCAACACCACCACCGUUCAGCAGCACCACCAAAAAAAUUGACAAAAGCUGAAUAGAAAAGAAAAACAGAAAAGAACAGAACAGAAAAGAAAAGCGAGAAAACCAGGCUUUGUCAGAGGAAAUGCUGGCUUGAGAGCAGCUUUGUGGGCACACGACCACUGGACUCGCCGCAGACACCCGUGAUUGACAGCAGCCCCCCCGCCACAGC
This 6172-nucleotide unclassified non-coding RNA is filed under the name Drosophila pseudoobscura pseudoobscura. Its description in RNAcentral is "GA28028". The record is from RNAcentral. Lineage: Eukaryota; Metazoa; Arthropoda; Insecta; Diptera; Drosophilidae.